RNAcentral lists this ribosomal RNA (279 nucleotides) under uncultured bacterium. RNAcentral's name for it is "partial 16S ribosomal RNA". It matches the Rfam family "Bacterial small subunit ribosomal RNA", at positions 506 to 784 of the family's 1533-position model. The record is from RNAcentral.
UGCCAGCAGCCGCGGUAAUACGGAGGGGGUUAGCGUUGUUCGGAAUUACUGGGCGUAGAGCGCACGUAGGCGGAUUAGUAAGUUAGGGGUGAAAUCCCGGGGCUCAACCCCGGAACUGCCUCUAAUACUGCUAGUCUUGAGUUCGAGGGAGGUGAGUGGAAUUCCGAGUGUAAAGGUGAAAUUCGUAGAUAUUCGGAGGAACACCAGUGGCGAAGGCGGCUUUCUGGGUCAAUACUGACGCUGAGAUUCGAAAGCGUGGGGAGCAAACAGGAUUAGAUA